Molecule: small nuclear RNA, 103 nt
Organism: Myotis lucifugus (little brown bat)
Lineage: Eukaryota; Metazoa; Chordata; Mammalia; Chiroptera; Vespertilionidae
Source: Ensembl
GUACUUGCUUUGGCAGCACAUAUACUAAAAUUGGAACGAUAUAAGAUUAACAUGGCCUCUAGGCAAGGAUGACAUUCAAAUUUGUGAAGCGUUCCAUAUUUAA